AGCUUUGCACAGUGGCAGUAUUGUACCCAAUGAGGUUUAUCUGAGGCGUGAUUAUUGCUAAUUGAAAACCCAGUGUCCAUAACUC
Molecule: small nuclear RNA, 85 nt
Gene: U4
Rfam family: U4 spliceosomal RNA
About the family: U4 small nuclear RNA (U4 snRNA) is a component of the major U2-dependent spliceosome. The structure of U4 snRNA from yeast and human has been reported. U4 snRNA presents a k-turn RNA motif in the 5p-SL related to recognition of Snu13 protein.
Source: Ensembl